This is a long non-coding RNA of Leopardus geoffroyi (Geoffroy's cat), 3714 nucleotides long. RefSeq lists it as uncharacterized. The record is from RefSeq and is a predicted model, not a curated record. Lineage: Eukaryota; Metazoa; Chordata; Mammalia; Carnivora; Felidae. The transcript has 4 exons.
CUCCCAUGCCCUGUCUUUGCUGAGACCACCGGUUUUAACAACAAUGAAAGAAAAGGGCCCUCAGAGGGAGCCAGAACGGUGCUAAGUAUUUUUUUUUUUUUUAUAAAAAGUAGUGUUUCUAAUCCUCACAAUGUAUGCCUCAGUAAGAAAGGUGAGGUUCAGAGAGGGUAAGUAACUUCUCUAAGGUUACACAGCUAGACACUAGAGCCAGGUUUUCAGUUACUGGUCCGUCUGACUCCAGAACCUUCCGUUGUGGUUUGUGUUAUUUAUUUUGGCUACGGCUCCUAGAGCUCUCUGUGGCAUAUGUUUUUUAGAUCGAGGGGCAACGUGCUAGUGUGAAGUGUACAUCUCGACAACUCUUUGCAUGUGUGCACGCCCAUGUAACCACCACCCAGAGCAAGAUACAUUUCCAGAAGGUUCCUCAUGCUCCUUCCAGCUACUCGCUAUUCUGACCUCUAUCAGCAUUGAUUAGUUUUUCCUGGGAGGAGCGGCGUGGAACCCCUUCUCUCGCUGAGGCAAGGAGGAAGACAGGAGGAUUUCCGUGUGGGGAGGAGCUGCUCAUGGCAACAUCGGAGGGGGAGCCUCCACAGGCAGUGGGGAGGGAGCGUUCAUACGGUGCACGGUCCCACCGGGUCUCCGCACGCUACCGUGAGGUAGGCAGCGAAGCGAGGAGAGUUUGAAUCGGAUGCACAAAGCCAUGCGCCCAAAGCGACACGGCAAGUUAGUGGUGGAUCCGGAGGCCUGGAGUCUCCUGGCGUCUUGGUCAGUGCACGUAUCUCCCCCGACAACUUUGCUUUAUAAUGCGGCUCUGGAUUUUUGUGCUCCCCUACGUAUAACAUUAUUCCCAGCAGCCAAAAGGUGGAGGUAACCCAGGUGUCCAUGGGGGAUGGUUGAGUGAAUGAAUGACAAAUGUACGUGCGACGGAAUAUUACUCAGCCUUAAUAAGGAAGGACGUUUUGACCCAGGCUACAACAUGGAUGAACCAUGAGGACGUUCAGGUACCUGGAGUAAUCAGGUGCAUAGAGACAGAAAGUAGAAGCGUGGUGGCCUGGGGCUGGGGAAGGGGAAGGAGAAGUUCAUGUUUGACGGAAACAGAGUUUGAACCUCACAGGACGACAAGAGCUCUGGGGGUGGAUGGUGGUGAUGGCAGCAUAACCAUGUGAAUGGGCUUAAUGCCACAGAGCUGUACAUUUUCAAAUGUUAAGGUGGCAAAUUUUACGUUACAUGUACUUUGUCAAAGUUUAAAAAUUAGUUGCUGGUUUUUUUUUUUAAUUGCUGCUUCUGAGAGGAAGAUAGUAAGCCGUAACCUUUUAAAGGACGUGUAACUUUGUUUCUCAUGACUUGUAUCAGUCAGGAUAGGCUAAGUCAUACUGCUGUAACAAACAGCCCCCAAAAUCUGACUUCUGAGUCAAGCACUUGCUUCCUGCACUGUACCACCUCACACACUAAAUCAUGUACCCCACGGAGUGCUCUUCCUUGCUGUUCUAAACAUCUCCCUACUCUACCUGCACCCUAGUUCCAGGAUGGGGCAAUGGAAUCGGUCAGAUUCACCCUUGGCUGGCUAUGUGGCUGUGGGUAAGCCAGUUAACUUCUCUAAGCCUCAGUUUACUCAUCUGGGAAAUGGGGACAACAACAGACCGUAUCUUGAGGGGAGAAUCAAGGGAGCAUUUCACAUGGCUUCAGGUAUGCCGUCAGGCUGUGGGUCCAUUUAAGCCUGGUGUAGAGUUUGGCACCCAGACAGGAAUGGGGUAGGCUUUAGCCUCCUGCCGACGAGGCCCUCAGCUUGAACAAUCCCAGGAGAAACACCUUCUUCCAGCCAACCUUGCGUCAGGGCCAGGGAAUGGGUGGGAUGGGAGCCAGAGGCUGCAAAGACAGUUGUCUCGAGCCUGAAAUACUUUUCUCCCCAAUGAUCUGUUUUCAAUUUCUCAUUCUUCACCCCCCCCCCCCUUUUAGAACCUGCCCUGCCAAGGAACAAGCAUGUUAGUGUGCGUCAGCCCCUAGCCCAGCCAGCAUCCCACCCUUGGGGAAUUUCUGCUUUAAAUAGUGAGGCAUGGGACCUUUCAAUAUGCCACGUGUGUUCCAGCCUCCACACCUUUGCAUGUGCUGUUCUUUUUCCCUACCGUGCUUUUCCCUGUCUCCUGGGUCUAUUCCGAUUUUGCUCAUCACCUGUCAAAGUUUGGCUGCAGGAACCUCUCCUGCCACAGCUCCUCUGAUUGCUCCCCCCACCCCCACUGUUAACACAUCUCCCCAGGUCUGCACACAUAUCUUGAUUUCUUGUGUCCUCUAGUGACCUAACACUUUUGAAAGCACAGCGUCAGCCGGUUCUUUGCAAAGUCUGAGGCUUUCAUGAAUCGAAGAGUGCUUUCAUCAUCCUCAUGUCAAUGGGAGGCGAUUGUUAUUGUCAUGUCCCUAUUUUCCAGAUGAGAAAAUGGAGCUCCUGAGAGCAGAAGUGUGUGGUCGCACAAAUGGGAAGUCAGGACCUCCGUAUCUGAGAACAGAGGCUCUUGCUAAGCCACCCUGCUGGGCUGAGCACGAACUUCUUACAGAAGCCUGACAUAUACACAAAACUGAGAGUUUAGCUGGUGAAUUUUCACAAAGUAAUCAGACUCCUGAAGCCAGUGCCAGAUCAACAGGACACUGCCAGCCCCUCAGAAGCCCCUUCACAGCCCACAAAGAGGAGCCAUCACCCUGACUUCUAACAUCACAGUUCUGGCUCAAGAUGGUGAUGUAGAAGGAUCCUGAACUCUCCUCCUCCCAGACACUGGAUAUACUGGAUAUGCAGCUACUUACAGAACAAUUAGCUGAAUGACUCCCACACAUUAGGCGAAGGAGAAAAAAACCCACAUCAAAGCAGGUAGGAGAGGCUGAGACACAUUCUCGCCACAAACCUCCCCCCUAGUGGGGAGACUCACAAUUGGGAGGGAACGCAAAAACUCUGAGCUUCUCCCUGAGGAGUGAGGGGUUUGAACUCUGCAUCUGGUACCCCAACUUUGAAGACCUGCCCCUGAAGUACCUUUAUCGCCUCCUUGAGAGGAGCCGGGAGCUGGGGCACCAGGACAGCUGGACAGAUAAACGUACAGCAACAGGACAGGUGGGGCCCAGGGUCGGGGGGGGGGCUCCUCCCUGCCCUUUAUCUGGCCUGGGCAGCCAGAGGUCACGGUCAGGGCUUUCUAUCGCUCCCUCAGGCCUUCUCCCAGCGUUUCCCUGUCCAGGACCCUUCAAGCAGACACCCAGCAAAGUGCUGUCCAAAAGCACCAGGACUGGUUUGACAAACAGAAUCUGCUCCAACCUGUCCACCAGCAAGCCCUCAGGUGUUCCUAUCUUUACUGUACGGAGAUAAUCAUACAUGUGCACAGAGGUGUGUGGACAGAGAUGUUCAUCACAGCAUUGUUUCUAACAGGGGAAAACUAGAAAGAACCCAAGUGCCCAGCAUGGAGGGACUGGUUACCAUACAACAGAAUGCAGUGGAAGAAUCUGACGCAGGCCUUAGAGCUCCCGCACCCCUGCUGGCCACCCUGCUGUCCCCCACCACCCCGACACCCCCUGGUUGCAUCUUACCGUCUAAGCGCACUAAACUCCUUAUGGUCCCCAAAUCCCCCCCGCGUUUCUGUCUUCUCAGAGGUUCCCACUUGCUGUUUCCUCUGCCCGCAAUGCCACUUCGUCUUUUUUUAAGAUAUUUUUUAAUCUAUGUUUAUUUUUUGAGAGAGAGACAGA